GAUGAACGCUGGCGGCGUGCCUAAUACAUGCAAGUCGAGCGAACAGACGAGGAGCUUGCUCCUUCGACGUUAGCGGCGGACGGGUGAGUAACACGUAGGUAACCUACCUAUAAGACUGGGAUAACUUCGGGAAACCGGAGCUAAUACCGGAUAAUAUUUCGAACCGCAUUGUUCGUUAGUGAAAGAUGGCUUUGCUAUCACUUAUAGAUGGACCUGCGCCGUAUUACCUAGUUGGUAAGGUAACGGCUUACCCAGGCAACGAUACGUAGCCGACCUGAGAGGGUACUCGGCAACACUAGAACUGAGACACGAUAAAAACUCCUACGAGAGGCAGCAGUAGGGAAUCUUCCGCAAUGGGCGAAAGCCUGACGGAGCAACGCCGCGUAAGGGAUGAAGGUCUUCGGAUCGUAAAACCCUGUUAUUAGGGAGGAACAAACGUGUAAGUAACUGUGCACGUCUUGCCGGUACCUAAUCAGAAAGCAACGGCUAACUACGUG
This 497-nucleotide ribosomal RNA is filed under the name uncultured bacterium. RNAcentral describes it as "partial 16S ribosomal RNA". It matches the Rfam family "Bacterial small subunit ribosomal RNA", at positions 28 to 507 of the family's 1533-position model. The record is from RNAcentral.